CUCGUAGGCGGCCAACUCAGUCGGACGUGAAAUCCCUCGGCUUAACCGGGGAACUGCGUCCGAUACUGGAUGGCUCGAGUGCGGGAGAGGGAUGCGGAAUUCCAGGUGUAGCGGUGAAAUGCGUAGAUAUCUGGAGGAACACCGGUGGCGAAGGCGGCAUCCUGGACUACUACUGACGCUGAGGAGCGAAAGCCAGGGGAGCAAACG
This 207-nucleotide ribosomal RNA is filed under the name uncultured bacterium. Its description in RNAcentral is "partial 16S ribosomal RNA". It matches the Rfam family "Bacterial small subunit ribosomal RNA", at positions 568 to 774 of the family's 1533-position model. The record is from RNAcentral.